Molecule: unclassified non-coding RNA, 204 nt
Filed under: Hevea brasiliensis (rubber tree)
Lineage: Eukaryota; Viridiplantae; Streptophyta; Magnoliopsida; Malpighiales; Euphorbiaceae
Source: RNAcentral
GUUCUUAUCGUUCUUCAUUGCAUAUUGCGAUCUUAUGAAAAGUUGAUCAUUUAGUUUUUAUUUCUUAGUGAUUGAUCUCUUCGAGAACACAUCAACAAUCACUUGUCAAGUAACCAAAGGGCUCUUCAUUGUCCCUCAUUUCCCAAGGUUUUUAUUGUUUAGUGAUUAAUGUCAUAGAGAACAUAUGAGCAAUCACUUGUCAUG